RNAcentral lists this ribosomal RNA (3037 nucleotides) under Oligofilomorpha interstitiophilum. Its description in RNAcentral is "eukaryotic LSU rRNA". It matches the Rfam family "Eukaryotic large subunit ribosomal RNA". The record is from RNAcentral. Lineage: Eukaryota; Metazoa; Xenacoelomorpha; Acoela; Solenofilomorphidae.
UGCGAGGAAUUCCUGACAUGGAGACUUUUAAGUCAUUCCUGAUCUUGCUUUAAAGGCNGCGCCAGAAAAGGGUGACAGCCCCGUAAGGGCUGGCAUAUGUAACCGUAAAGGACGCUUUACUCUGAGUAGGGUUGUUUGAAAGUGCAGCCCGAAUUGGGUGGUAAACUCCAUCUAAGGCUAAAUACGUGCAUGAGUCUGAUAGUCGACAAGUACCGUGAGGGAAAGUUGAAAAGUACUCUGAAAAGAGAGUAAAAUAGUACGUGAAACUGCUAACAGGUUAUCGGGUGGCCUGUCAACUGCCGUAAAGCAGCUUUGUUUAAAGCCGCGCUGAAGGCACUGCCAUUCGCUGAUCGGGUGCUCUGUCAUCUCAUACUCUGAUGUCGUGUAGCGGGUUUGAUGAGAUUUGCCAGCCUUCGGGCUAGCAGAUUCACCUUGCUCCCUAACUUCUAUCCGCUUAUGUUUGGCACGCGAACCGGUCUCAAUGGCUGUUAUGUCGAGAGUCCACCCGGCCCGUCUUGAAACACGGACCAAGGAGUCUAACGCUGUUGCAAGUCACAAGGCAAAUCGAAUGCCUAUGGGCGAAAUGAAAGUGCUACCCUAUGGCACUUUGUGUUGUGGUGAUACGUACAGAAAUGUGCGGGGCAACCACGGGCGGCCAAACAAUUGCGUUUGGUCUGACCUUGAGCAGCAGUGUUAGGACCCGAAAGAUGGUGAUCUAUGCCUGGGCAGAGCCAAGCCACGGGAAACCAUGGUGGAAGCUCGUAGCGAUUCUGACGUGCAAAUCGAUCGCGUGACCUGGGUAUAGGGGCGAAAGGCCAAUCGAACCAUCUAGUAGCUGGUUCCCUCCGAAGUUUCCCUCAGGAUAGCUGCCGGUCAUAACACAACAGUUUUUCCGGGUAAAGCUAAUGAUUAGAGGUCUUGGGGAAAUCUCUUCCUCAACCUAUUCUCAAACUUUAAAUCGGUAAGAAGUGAUUGUUUCUUAACUGAACAAUUGCGUUGAAUGUGACCGGUCAGUGGGCCGUUUUUGGUAAGCAGAACCGGCGAUGCGGGAUGAACCGAAAGCCUAGUUAAGGCGCCAAACAAGUGCUCAUGAGACAUCAGAAAAGGUGUUGAUUGGUUUUGACAGCAGGACGGUGGCCAUGGAAGUCGGAAUCCGCUAAGGAGUGUGUAACAACUCACCUGCCGAAUCAAUCAGCCCUGAAAAUGGAUGGCGCUACAGCACUUGGCCUAUACUAGGCUGUGGCAGCCAUAUGAUGUUCAAUGCACCGCGACAUUGACAUCGAUCGUCUGCCACAAGUAGGAGGGCGUGAAGGUUGCGGCGAAGCGAUCCGCGUGAGCGGACGUGGAGCGGCCUUCAGUGCAGAUCUUGGUAGUAGUAGCAAGUACUCAAGUGAGAACCUUGAGGGCCGAAGCGGGGAAGGUUUCCAUGUGAACAGCAGUUGAACAUGGGUUAGUCGGUCCUAAGCGACGAGCGAGGGCAGCUGUUUCGACAGUUUCAGGCGUACGCCUGACGUCGCGAAAGGGAAUGGGGUUAAUAUUCCCCAACCUGUUUUCUUGGUACUAACGGCGGUAACGCUUGUGCGCGCUGGGACGCACAACGGAGACCGGGGAAGAGUUAUCUUUUCUUGUUAAGAAGGGAUUGCCUUGGAAUCGGAUUAUCCGGAGAUAAGGUAGUUACCUUCAAAGAGCACAGCAGUUCUUGUUGUGUCCCGAGCUCUCUGUUGUGCCCUUGAAAACCAGCGAACACUACUACCACGGAAGCAGACCGUACCGAUAACCGCAUCAGGUCCCCGAGGUGAGCAGCCUCUGGUGCUGAACCACUGUAGGUCAGGAUAGUCGGCAAAAUGGAUCCGUACCUUCGGUACAAGGAUUGGCUCUGAGGAUUGGGCACAUCAAGCCUUGGUGUUAGAUGUAGGUAUGUCGUAUUCCGAGAAAGGCUCUCUGCUUGCCUUCAGCACGUGUCAGCUUGCUGGGGCGUUGCUGUUGGUAGCGGUUGCUGUCUUUUUUGGAUGUCGUCAUCCUUCAGCCGAUACCUUGGUAUUUAUUGGUGUGCAUGUAACAAUCAGGCUCAGAACCGGCGCGGACAAAGGGAAUCCGACUGUUUAAUUAAAACAAAGCAUUGCGACGGCUGGCGAAUGGUGUUGACGCAAUGUGAUUUCUGCCCAGUGCUCUGAAUGUCAAAGUGAAGAAAUUCAACCAAGCGCGGGUAAACGGCGGGAGUAACUAUGACUCUCUUAAGGUAGCCAAAUGCCUCGUCAUCUAAUUAGUGACGCGCAUGAAUGGAUUAACGAGAUUCCCACUGUCCCUAUCUACCAUCCAGCGAAACUACAGCCAAGGGAACGGGCUUGGUAAAAUUAGCGGGGAAAGAAGACCCUGUUGAGCUUGACUCUAGUCUGACGUUGUAAAGGGACUCGGAAGGUGUAGGAAAUAGGUGGGAGCCGCAAGGCGACAGUGAAAUACCACUACUUUCGACUUGUCUCUUUACUAAUCGGGUGACAUGGAAAAGGCAUUACGCCUUCUUUUGGUACAAACACAGGCACUUACGUCUGUGCAAUCCAUUCUCGAGACAGCGUCAGGUGGGGAGUUUGACUGGGGCGGUACAUCUGUCAAACAAUAACGCAGGUGUCCUAAGACUGACUCAGUGAGGACGGAAACCUCACGUAGAGCAAAAGGGCAAAAGUCAGUUUGAUCUUGAUUUUCAGUAUGAAGCCAGACUGCGAAAGCAGGUCGGUAUCGAUCCUUUGGACGUUAAGAGUUGUAAGCUAGGGGUCUCAGGAAAGCUACCACAGGGAUAAGGGGCUGGUGGCGAUCAACCGCAGCUAGGGACGUCGGUAUCAGAUCCCUUGAUGUGGGUGCGUCCUAUCAUGGGGAAGCAGAAUUCGCGAAGAGUUCGAUUGUUCACCCAGUAACAGGUAUCGUGAACUGGGUUUACACGGACAUGCGCCAGGUAAAUUUUAAGCUCUUAAUGGGUCUGCGUGCGUCCCAGCACUAAAUAUGCGCACUGCAAAGAGGAAUCGUGCCGCUUCAUCCAUAGAAG